AAGGAAGCAGCUGGAACAAAAGUUAGUUCUUAUGGUGGCUGUGAGGUGUCUCUGGAAUCUCUGCAAAACCAAGCAGUGGGUUUUCUGGCUGCCAAGAGCCUGCCCACAUCUGUGUCUGAUUUAUCAGUAAAUAGGUACUUUGGUUAUUUUCUACAAAUGUGAGGGAAGAGGACCAUAACACUCUUACAUCAUUGGCCUUACUGUUAAAUCCCCAAUCUUAGCCUCAGAGCCAUUUUUCCUUAAUUCUCCUUACAAGAGGUGGUUGUGGCUAAAGAAACAGCAAGGGUAGAGACAUAGUGCUUAAUAUAAUUGCUAGCUGCAGCUAUUUUGUGCUUUAUUACCUCUACCACAGGUUUUACAUUUCAUGAGGAUGAUUCUUUUCUCCUCCACCCUUCUAUAUUAGCUCCUUCCUGCUGGCCACAGGAUCUCGUGGGAAUGCAAAAGCUACCACAGUGAGCAGAAAGUUCAAGACGGAUGUUAGAGCUGCUGCAAUACCUCUGAAAUAAAGAUGGACUCAAAGCUCUAGUCCCAGAUUUACAGCAACAUGGUGUGCUGCUGAUUUCUCACGAAGAAGUCAUCAAAAACCAGCUCUGAGAAGCUUCUGCUGUGAAAGAAGUGACGUGUUUGCAACUCAGAAGCUAAGGAAGCUGCCAAAAAACAUAAGGGAGCCAGAUGAGACUUUUAACAGUUGUAUCAGGACCACUGACACAGAUGUAAAUGCUGUGUGGUGUGGUUUAGUUGUAAAUGUUUAAUCCUGUAUAUAAGGGAGGGAAUUUUUUAAAUAAAAAUGUUACUGACUUUUACACUUUCUCUUCCCUUAAUUUUUUUCAGUAUUACAGAUGGUUUUAGUAUUGUAUACUUUUUGAGCUGACAAUUAAUUAAAUCUUGAAUAGCCUACUAAGUUCUAAUGCUCACUUUUAAUUCUUUCAGUCUGUAUAUUUGUCCUGCAUUACUUCUCCAACUUUCCUUCAUCACAGCAUUUUCAUUUGUUUCAAUUUAAUUCACUGGCAGAGAAUUUAAUUUGGUGUUUACAUCAAUUUAUUAAAUACUGCAUGGUGAUUAAAAAUAACUGUUUCUUAUCUAAGUUGAAAGGAAGUAUAAAAACUUUCCACUGUGUGUGUAAAGUUCCAGACCACUUCAGAUAUAUUUUUCCUCAGAAUGUACUGCUGUAUGUGUGUAGUUGUAUUAGAUCUACUGAAUAAGUUGCAUAAUCCCAGACAGUGCUUUCAGGGUGAAGAUGACAGUCUUCCAUCAUGAUGGAGAUUUUGUAAAUGUGCAGUUUUCUGUCAUAAAGGAAUCCAUACUUUACAAUGUUGUCAACAUAUAAGACCCUACUGUGCCUUUUUCUAAACAGUAUGAUAGAAUUUAUUUUUUAAUUCAUUACCUUCUUCCAAGGUGAAAUGUUUCCUACUGUGGAAAAAUCUUGUUGCAAAUUAAAUAAUAUGUUUUAGAGCUGCUGCUACCGGAAUACUAAGGGAAAUGCAUUCACUCAUUCAAGUAGUGUCAAUAAGUCUGAUGAGACCUCAUAAUGAAGUGCAGUUACACUUCUAAAUACUUAUAACUACUGUUCUACAACUUCAGUAUCUGAAUGACCACUGUUGAUUGAUUAAAUAAAUAUAAAACAAACCCCUUUGCUGUCAGAUUUUUUUUUUAUUAUUAAUAAAUAGAAAUUAGAAGUGUGACUGAAAUGCUUAAUAGCUGCUGUUGCCUGAGGUGAUGUGGACUGAUGUCUUUGCUUGGGCACUUUGAAUCACUUGCAAAAUCCAGUGACAUCACCUGAAAAAUAUGAUGUGAAGGAAUUGGAAAUUCUGUGAGGGUUUCUUCAGACUUUUCUACAUGUGGCUUAUGUUCUGUGAGAACUCACAGAAGCAGAUAACUUGUGAAACC
This is a long non-coding RNA of Columba livia (rock pigeon), 1887 nucleotides long. RefSeq lists it as uncharacterized. The transcript has 3 exons. Lineage: Eukaryota; Metazoa; Chordata; Aves; Columbiformes; Columbidae. The record is from RefSeq and is a predicted model, not a curated record.